GAGUCUUGAUCUUGAUUUAGCUUGCUUUCGAGUUUGAGGCGUCGAAUCGGUUGGUUGCUGUUGCUGCUUGUGUGCGUGAGUCUUGGGGUGGGCGGCGGCGACCAGCUGCUGGUCGUGGCAGCCGGAGUUCAGUGAGGGAGAACGGCGAGGCGGCUUACCGCUGCUGCAGUCGCCGGAAGGUCGAGAGAGAGAGACCGAGGGAGGCAGCGGCGUUCCGUCGUUGCCAAGGAGGAGAGAGAACAGGGGGGUACAGAGGGAGAUGAGGUGGGUGGUCCUUCGUUGGUGGCCGAGCCGCGGCGGCGGAGAGAGGCUGGGAUGGCAGCCGGCGAUGGAGAAGAUGUACAGCAACAGCAGCGCCGGCUCUGGGAUGGUGGCAGGCGGUCCGACCAACCGCUGCUCUCUGUCUCGGGGCAGCGAGGGCGGCCACGCUGUCGGCUGGGGAAGGAGAGGACGACGGCGGCGGUGGCUUGAUGCUCCUGCUGCCCGUCCGAUCCAGAGAGAGUCGAAGUCGGCGGCGGUAGUGGCUUCUCGCUGCUAUCGCCGGAGUUCCAGAGGGAGGAUCGGAGUUUGAGAGGAGAGAGCUGGUGGCGGCAGCUCGUCGCUGCUGCUCCUCCGGCGAGCUCCACGGUGGGCGGCUGUUACCAGCCGAAGAAGAGGGAGCCG
This 663-nucleotide long non-coding RNA is filed under the name Salvia miltiorrhiza (redroot sage). RNAcentral describes it as "long non-coding RNA (SMIL_LNC014091)". The record is from RNAcentral. Lineage: Eukaryota; Viridiplantae; Streptophyta; Magnoliopsida; Lamiales; Lamiaceae.